This 507-nucleotide ribosomal RNA is filed under the name uncultured bacterium. RNAcentral describes it as "partial 16S ribosomal RNA". It matches the Rfam family "Bacterial small subunit ribosomal RNA", at positions 28 to 507 of the family's 1533-position model. The record is from RNAcentral.
GACGAACGCUGGCAGCGUGCCUAAUACAUGCAAGUCGAACGCAUUUUCUUUCACCGUAGCUUGCUACACCGAAAGAAAAUGAGUGGCGAACGGGUGAGUAACACGUGGGUAACCUGCCCAUCAGCGGGGGAUAACACUUGGAAACAGGUGCUAAUACCGCAUAAUUCCAUUUACCGCAUGGUAAAUGGAUGAAAGGCGCUUUUGCGUCACUGAUGGAUGGACCCGCGGUGCAUUAGCUAGUUGGUGGGGUAACGGCCUACCAAGGCUGCGAUGCAUAGCCGACCUGAGAGGGUGAUCGGCCACACUGGGACUGAGACACGGCCCAGACUCCUACGGGAGGCAGCAGUAGGGAAUCUUCGGCAAUGGACGCAAGUCUGACCGAGCAACGCCGCGUGAGUGAAGAAGGGUUUCGGAUCGUAAAACUCUGUUGUUAGAGAAGAACAAGGAUGAGAGUGGAAAGUUCAUCCCUUGACGGUAUCUAACCAGAAAGCCACGGCUAACUACGUG